GCAAAGGCUCCCCUACCCGGGAGGACUGAUGGGAGACAGCUGCGGUUCCUCUUGCUCUUACUUUCUCAAAAAGGUGCACCAGGGUUCGGAGCCUCAAUCGAGCAGAAACAAGAAUAUCAGAACAAAGAUAAAGGAAAGAAAGUUUGUGAUUCUGGAAAGUAUUGGGAGAAUAGAUUUCUACUUCUCCAUUAUACGUAAUCAAUAACCUAAGCUCAGAAGGUUGGACAGAUCAGCCAUAGUUCACAGCCUGUUGAAGAACUGAAAAUGGAGACACUAAAGGAAGAACUGGAGUUCAAGAUCAACGGAAGUGCUCAGGGGUAGAUUAGAGCUGUCAGAGGUCUAUAAUCUUUUCAUUUAAAAAAAUGAGAAUCUUGCAUGGGUCAUUUUGAAAGGAAAAGGGUUAGCGGUAAAAGUGAGAGAUGGGGUCAGGAUACUUCUGUUGAAUAGGCAUGAAGCCUGGAAAAUCAGUUCAAUUUGACUCUGCAAAUAUUAGAAGAGGUAUGUGGUUUGAUUUAGGAAAGAGUUUAAUAAAGUCAUUCUUUUAGUCAGAAAAAAAAAACCUCCCUAUCACUACUGAAUGCCAGGAAAAUCAAGUUUUUUAUUAUUAUAUUAAUAUGUAUAUCACCCAUAGGUAGUACACCAUGUUAUUUUUCAUAUGGCCACUGAAGGUGAAGCACUUCAUACAGUGGCAAAUAUGUUGAGCUUGCUAUCAUUAUAGAGGAUGAUGAUUUUCCUUACAAAAUUGACACUAAAACUGAAAUGGAGGGAAAACACUAAUUCCUGAUUUCUUACAUUUGGGGCAGGAGUAUUUAAUAUAAUAAACACGCUUGGGAAAGUAUGCAUAUGCAUAAGUAUGUGUAUCUUCAUCUACAUCCACCAUCUACCAAUCUAUCUAUCUAUAUGCAAAUUUUUCCAAAUGGUAGU
Molecule: long non-coding RNA, 924 nt
Organism: Equus quagga
Lineage: Eukaryota; Metazoa; Chordata; Mammalia; Perissodactyla; Equidae
Exons: 3
Source: RefSeq, a predicted model, not a curated record